Molecule: long non-coding RNA, 1898 nt
Filed under: Dasypus novemcinctus (nine-banded armadillo)
Lineage: Eukaryota; Metazoa; Chordata; Mammalia; Cingulata; Dasypodidae
Description: lncRNA (ENSDNOG00000052816.1)
Source: RNAcentral
GGUCGGGGCGCGGGUCGGGGCGCGGGGCGACCCUCCCUUCUGGCCCGGCCGCCGCGCCUGCUCGCAUCCUCCUGGCUCUCCUUCCUUUGGUCCCUGCGUCUGGGCCAGGCCCCGCGCCCUCCCCCGGGGUUAGGUGAGGAUUCCGUGAUAGGCGCCCGCAGCAGGCCGCCGCCAGCAGGGGCCACUUCUGGUUCUUCCCUGCGUGGAGGGUGAGUCUGCAGAGCUAAGAUGUCACAUCCUUCCCGGUCACCGCUAAAACCUCAUCAUCCCGCUGCUGACCAGGGGACCGGGUCAGAGCAGUGUAGACGUUAAGAACACGCCCCGGCAGCCCCUUCCUCGUGGGACGCUGGACAAGACAGUUAGGCAGCCUUAGGGUGGGCUCGCCGCACCGAGCCUCGGGCGCGCUGGGCAGCCAGCGAGGGAACUUGGGGUGCGGGGCCCUGAGCGAGGGCUCCCUCCUUUUUCCCCUUAAAGCAGUAGUAGUGUUUUCCAACCAGCGUGCAAACCUCCCGGCACCGGCCCUGCCGGAUCACUGAAGACAGUUUGGCUGCCCUGAGGAAUCCGGUCCAUUCCGAGGCCUCUGCACCUCAAUGGUACCCCUGGUGUGGGCAGCCAGCGGAGGCUUGGGCCGCGCCCAGGGCGCGGAGGGCGGCGUCCCUGUCGCGCCGGCGGACUUUCGCCGCUGGGACCUGAACGGCGGGACCUGGUGACCUUCUUUGAGCUCCUUUGUCCUCCCUCGCGGGAACUGGGUCGGCGUCCCUUCCCUGGAAACCCUGCCCCCGCCUCGCGGCCCUUUGAAGGGCUGCUGUGCCGUGGCUGGCGACCUUCUUUCUCCACCGCAGAGGCUGCAGUUCUGCGCUCCUGAGCAAAUGUGUCCCAGAGGAGCCCCCAUGCCUUGGCUGGACGCCAAAGCACCAGCCCUCGCCCGGGAGAGGGCUCUUCUGACGGGGCCACGGCGUCGUCCCCAGAUGGAAAGAAUCCCAGGGCCCGUCCCCAUGAGCACAGCGCCUGCUCUUCCCGGAGGAGAAGGAAGAAAUGGUGAAGAGUGGGGGAAGCCAACGUUCAGUCAAUCUAGACCUGUCGUACACGCCACUGCCUUCAUCCUCGCCACAGCCCCUUUCCACAGCCCCUUGGUGGACGAGCGGAUGGGGAUUGGAGCUACCAAGAAAGUUGUCCAAGAUGGCAGAAUGGGUGGCAACCUCCCUCAGGUGAGGAGAAACAUCAAGAAAAAGGGCAGCUUGUCCUUGUGUGCGUCGUGGGCCUUGGUGAUGACCGUGGGAACGCUGAGCAGGAGGUUGUGGAAUGGGUGGGCUGGUAACUGCUUUUAACAUGGUGGGCCAUGCAGGCUGCUAAACUUGCCCUCUAAUUAUUUUAUUUCCCCCUCAUAAAAUGGCCAUGAAGCUCUUUUUGCAAAGGAGGAAAUCAGGGGCGGUACCUGUGCCAGAAUCCUAGGCCAGCGCCGUCUGACUACAGAACCUGCGCCCACGGACCCCUGUCUGUUGGAGCAGACAUAGAGGCAGACAAAAACUGCCAGCUCAAGCCCGUGGCCAAGAGGUCUGCAAUCUCCCGGCUCUGGUGACAGACCCAUCAGAAUUUUGACCUUAAAAGAAAACUUUUGACUAAUUGUAUAUUCAGAAAAAACUCUAGCAUUUGCAUGUCUAAAAUAAGUAGGGAGAGGGAAGAAGAGAUGUGAUGUGGGGGCAUUUUUAGGACUUGGAGUUGUCCUGGGUAGUGCUACAGGGACAGAUGCUGGACAUUGUAUAUCCUGCCAUGGCCCACUGGGUGGACUGGGGGAGAGUGUAAACUACAAUGUAAACCACUAUCCAUGUGGUGCAGCAGUGCUCCAAAAAGGAAUUCACCAAAUGCAAUGAAUGUACCACAAUGAUGAAAGAGGUUGU